CUCCUCAUAGUUCAACGGAUAGAACAUCGGUCUUCUAAACCGAGAAUUCAGGUUCGAAUCCUGAUGGGGAGA
RNAcentral lists this transfer RNA (72 nucleotides) under Bacteriophage sp. RNAcentral describes it as "tRNA-Arg". It matches the Rfam family "tRNA". Rfam says of the family: Transfer RNA (tRNA) molecules are approximately 80 nucleotides in length. Their secondary structure includes four short double-helical elements and three loops (D, anti-codon, and T loops). RNAcentral also lists the same sequence under 2 other names. The record is from RNAcentral.